This is a long non-coding RNA of Coffea arabica (coffee), 488 nucleotides long. RefSeq lists it as uncharacterized. NCBI's taxonomy places the organism in Eukaryota, Viridiplantae, Streptophyta, Magnoliopsida, Gentianales, Rubiaceae. The record is from RefSeq and is a predicted model, not a curated record.
GCAAGUGGGAGAGAGAAUGACGAAAGUGCGAGAUCUUUUCCGGGAUACAGAGACAACAGAGUUGUGAUAGUAACAAUACCCACUGCAAUGGCAGUUAGCGAGUCUUCGAGGUUGUGUGCAUCCUUAAAGAAGGAAAAAGUUCCAGUACGAAGGCUUAUUGUAAAUCAAGUGUUACCUCCAUCACUGUCAGACUGCAAGUUCUGUGCAAUGAAAAGGAAGGACCAGAUGCAUGCCUUUGAUAUGAUUCAUAAAGACCAGGACUCAUCGAGUUUGAAAAUGGUUGAGGCGCCUCUGUUUGAUGUGGAAAUUAGGGAUGUUCCAGCACUUAAGUUUAUGGGGAAUGUCAUUUGGCGUUAAAGCUUCACUUUUGACGGUUCCGAAAAAGAUAGGAAAUGAAAGAUACCAGAUAUCUGUAAGACCAUUAUUGACUACUACUAUUAUCAGCAGCUCAGUAAAACAUGGUAAUGAAGAUGGAGGAAACUAUUCAU